UCAGGCCUAACACAUGCAAGUCGAACGGUAACGCGGGGCAACCUGGCGACGAGUGGCGAACGGGUGAGUAAUGUAUCGGAACGUGCCCAGUUGUGGGGGAUAACUGCUCGAAAGAGCAGCUAAUACCGCAUACGACCUGAGGGUGAAAGCGGGGGAUCGCAAGACCUCGCGCAAUUGGAGCGGCCGAUAUCAGAUUAGGUAGUUGGUGGGGUAAAGGCUCACCAAGCCAACGAUCUGUAGCUGGUCUGAGAGGACGACCAGCCACACUGGGACUGAGACACGGCCCAGACUCCUACGGGAGGCAGCAGUGGGGAAUUUUGGACAAUGGACGCAAGUCUGAUCCAGCCAUGCCGCGUGCGGGAAGAAGGGCUUCGGGUUGUAAACCGAUUGUGUCAGGGAAGAAACGCUCUGGGUUAAUACCUCGGGGUAA
RNAcentral lists this ribosomal RNA (430 nucleotides) under uncultured bacterium. RNAcentral describes it as "bacterial SSU rRNA". It matches the Rfam family "Bacterial small subunit ribosomal RNA", at positions 42 to 470 of the family's 1533-position model. The record is from RNAcentral.